GCCUAAUAGCUUGUAUUCCAUUAGUCUUGUGAGAAGAUCAGCCAAUCAAGUAGCUGAUUGGAUGGCAAAGAAAAAUUUAGGUCUUUUGCAUGCAAAUUACUGGUUUAUUUCUCCCCCUUGGCCGUUAAAGCCUCUGCUUUUGAAUGAUUUCCCUCACUGACGUUUAUGCAAUAUAAGCUAUUAGGCUAUUUUUUUUUCGUGCUGC
RNAcentral lists this unclassified non-coding RNA (205 nucleotides) under Hevea brasiliensis (rubber tree). Lineage: Eukaryota; Viridiplantae; Streptophyta; Magnoliopsida; Malpighiales; Euphorbiaceae. The record is from RNAcentral.